GUAAACGCCAGGAGAUUGCGCUAGGAGCCUUCUAAGCUCUUGGUCAGGGGUUCGAUUCCUCUCGGGCGCGCCA
This 73-nucleotide transfer RNA is filed under the name Desulfovibrio intestinalis. Its description in RNAcentral is "tRNA-Arg". Lineage: Bacteria; Pseudomonadati; Thermodesulfobacteriota; Desulfovibrionia; Desulfovibrionales; Desulfovibrionaceae. The record is from RNAcentral.